UACAGAGGUCCCGAGCGUUGUUCGGAUUCACUGGGCGUAAAGGGUGCGUAGGCGGUCGGGUAAGUCUGAUGUGAAAUCUCACAGCUUAACUGUGAAACUGCAUUGGAUACUAUUCGUCUUGAGGUCUGGAGGGGGGACUGGAAUUCUCGGUGUAGCAGUGAAAUGCGUAGAUAUCAAGUGGAACACCAGUGGCGAAGGCGAGUCUCUGGACAUUUCCUGACGCUGAGGCACGAAAGCCAGGGGAGCAAACGGG
Molecule: ribosomal RNA, 253 nt
Filed under: uncultured bacterium
Lineage: Bacteria
Description: partial 16S ribosomal RNA
Rfam family: Bacterial small subunit ribosomal RNA
Source: RNAcentral